RNAcentral lists this transfer RNA (74 nucleotides) under Candidatus Colwellbacteria bacterium RIFCSPHIGHO2_12_FULL_44_17. Its description in RNAcentral is "tRNA-Trp". It matches the Rfam family "tRNA". From Rfam's summary of the family: Transfer RNA (tRNA) molecules are approximately 80 nucleotides in length. Lineage: Bacteria; Candidatus Colwelliibacteriota. The record is from RNAcentral.
GGGGGCUUCGUUCAGUGGUAGGACUUCGGUCUCCAAAACCGAGGACGAAGGUUCGAUCCCUUCAGCCCCCGCAA